RNAcentral lists this long non-coding RNA (222 nucleotides) under Elaeis guineensis (African oil palm). RNAcentral describes it as "long non-coding RNA (EGUI_LNC030705)". Lineage: Eukaryota; Viridiplantae; Streptophyta; Magnoliopsida; Arecales; Arecaceae. The record is from RNAcentral.
GAGCUCGAAUUUAAGGCUGAAUUUAAGCUCAGACUAUUUGUUUCUAUAUAUAAUUAUCUGGAGAGAAUGGCGAGGAAGCAAAAGACAAAUUGAAAUGAGUUUUGCUGAGAAUGAUGUCUCGUGCAUCAUUUACUUAUGUUACAAGAGAAGCAUAGUUUUUAGCUAGUCCAUUCAAUUGUAAAGGAACAAUAUGAAAUAUUAAAUUUCAAUUGGAUUCAGGCC